CGGACGGGUGAGUAACGCGUGGGUAACCUGCCUCAUACAGGGGGAUAACAGUUAGAAAUGACUGCUAAUACCGCAUAAGCGCACAGGACCGCAUGGUCCGGUGUGAAAAACUCCGGUGGUAUGGGAUGGAUCCGCGUCUGAUUAGCUGGUUGGUGAGGUAACGGCCCACCAAGGCGACGAUCAGUAGCCGACCUGAGAGGGUGGCCGGCCACAUUGGGACUGAGACACGGCCCAAACUCCUACGGGAGGCAGCAG
This 255-nucleotide ribosomal RNA is filed under the name uncultured bacterium. Its description in RNAcentral is "partial 16S ribosomal RNA". It matches the Rfam family "Bacterial small subunit ribosomal RNA", at positions 99 to 354 of the family's 1533-position model. The record is from RNAcentral.